Long non-coding RNA from Triticum aestivum (bread wheat), 1013 nucleotides. RefSeq lists it as uncharacterized. The record is from RefSeq and is a predicted model, not a curated record. The transcript has 5 exons. Lineage: Eukaryota; Viridiplantae; Streptophyta; Magnoliopsida; Poales; Poaceae.
UUUGGGAACAAGCCAGGUCGUCAGGUUCCAGCCUAUCCCCCGAACGAACAACUCCACUGCUCCUCUGGUCCUUCCUCCGUGAUGCGCCGCCAUCCUUCCUCCGCGUUGCGCCGCUGCUGCCGGCGAUCUUCUGCUGCGCGUAUGCAUCCACCGUUCCUCCUUGGCGGCUGUGGCGGCCGCCCGUGCCGUCGGCGUCCAUCACCGGCUGUUAGGUUCUGGCAGUUCAAGGUACUCGUUUUCGAUAAAUCCAUCCUCUUCGCCUCGAACAUUUUAUUGUGUCGGUUUGAAUUUCUUUUCUUUGGACUGGUGUAUCAGUAGGGUUAACUAGAGAGAGAUUUGAGCAAAAUGGGGCUGAGGGAAAAGAAGGGGACCAGAGGUGCGUGCUCUCUUGGCCUGGAUUCCAGCGAGGCGAAAUAUUUCCCUGUGCUUCCUUGAUCAUGCUGAAAACAACAAAGCCACAAAUAUGGCUGGCAUUAACCCCUGAUAUUCUUAGUGAUUGAUGCAGUCAGAGGAGGGGAAAGAGAAAAGAAACCAGGAGAAGCAGCGAGAGGAGCCAGAGAACAGUCACCCCACUUAUGUUGGGCAUAUCCACCGCGGCUUAUAUGAAGAACAGAUGCAAGGUUUCCUUGAGCGGGUUAUCUCUUUUUAGAGGGUCAGGAUUGUGUGGAACCGCAAGGUCUUCUCUAUAUAGCUUUGCAUGAUGUCUGGUGAUAUGCGUACAUUCCCUGUGAACAUCUGACUUGAUGUUUGGUGAUAUAUAUAUUUAUUAGAGUGGAAUUACGAAUCCAUUGAGUCUAACAAACUUGGGGUGGCAAAGAUUGUGGACGAGAUGGCCUGUUGUUUGAUCACACCUUGCAAAUUGUCUUUCCCAACUUAGCUUCUAGCUAGCAGGCCAAAAGUUGCCCCUAGAGCUUCAGCAUAAGGACUUGGCUUUCAAGGGAGAGAAGAGGGCAUCACUUUUUCUCUUCAAAUGAUACUCUUUGUAGUGAGUCUGUUUCAAAACAAGAAGUCAG